Molecule: long non-coding RNA, 323 nt
Filed under: Numida meleagris (helmeted guineafowl)
Lineage: Eukaryota; Metazoa; Chordata; Aves; Galliformes; Numididae
Description: lncRNA (ENSNMEG00000009434.1)
Source: RNAcentral
UAGGAAACGCCUUCUCUCAACAUCUAACAGUAGUGACCAAAAAAAGCCAGACAGAGGAACUUGAACGUGUUACAUCAUUGCAGAAUGGCCUUCAGUUAGCAGCUGUUAUUCGUGCAAAUGGAAGAAGGUAUAGAUUUACAUAUGUAAAGAUACUGCCUAUCAGCCCUCAGCACGACUCACUGUCUUAUCUGAGAAAUAUUUUACCUGCUUUGACCUUCAAAAUCCUAGCAAAGGAUUUUUUUUCCUAUACUGGGAAAGGUGACUUUUCAUUAUAAAUUGCAACUACAUAUUGUAUUAAAGACCAUGUCAAAACUGAUCUCUUC